AGUGAACGCUGGCGGUAGGCCUAACACAUGCAAGUCGAACGGCAGCACAGUAAGAGCUUGCUCUUACGGGUGGCGAGUGGCGGACGGGUGAGGAAUACAUCGGAAUCUACUUUUUCGUGGGGGAUAACGUAGGGAAACUUACGCUAAUACCGCAUACGACCUACGGGUGAAAGCAGGGGAUCUUCGGACCUUGCGCGAUUGAAUGAGCCGAUGUCGGAUUAGCUAGUUGGCGGGGUAAAGGCCCACCAAGGCGACGAUCCGUAGCUGGUCUGAGAGGAUGAUCAGCCACACUGGAACUGAGCCACGGUCCCGACUCCUACGGGAGGCAGCAGUGGGGAAUAUUGGACAAUGGGCGCAAGCCUGAUCCAGCCAUACCGCGUGGGUGAAGAAGGCCUUCGGGUUGUAAAGCCCUUUUGUUGGGAAAGAAAAGCAGCAGGUUAAUACCCCGCUGUUCUGACGGUACCCACAGAAUAAGCACCGGCUAACUUCGUG
RNAcentral lists this ribosomal RNA (492 nucleotides) under uncultured bacterium. RNAcentral's name for it is "partial 16S ribosomal RNA". It matches the Rfam family "Bacterial small subunit ribosomal RNA", at positions 29 to 507 of the family's 1533-position model. The record is from RNAcentral.